Molecule: small RNA, 101 nt
Filed under: Ulvibacter litoralis
Lineage: Bacteria; Pseudomonadati; Bacteroidota; Flavobacteriia; Flavobacteriales; Flavobacteriaceae
Description: Flavo-1 RNA
Rfam family: Flavo-1 RNA
Source: Rfam by way of RNAcentral
CUGUUGCGUUAGCGAUUACAGUGGCAUCCUUUUUAUUGGUCUCUUCGAGCGCAGGCGAGAAGUUGUCACAUAAAAAGAUAGAACGGAAAGCGCGACCCUAG